This 397-nucleotide ribosomal RNA is filed under the name Chelonoidis denticulatus (yellow-footed tortoise). RNAcentral's name for it is "partial 12S small subunit ribosomal RNA". It matches the Rfam family "Bacterial small subunit ribosomal RNA", at positions 830 to 1384 of the family's 1533-position model. Lineage: Eukaryota; Metazoa; Chordata; Testudines; Testudinidae. The record is from RNAcentral.
GCUCAGCCCCAAACCUAGAUAUUUAACAUACAAAAAUAUCCGCCAGAGAACUACGAGCAAACGCUUAAAACUCUAAGGACUUGGCGGUGCCUUAAUCCCCCUAGAGGAGCCUGUUCUAUAAUCGAUAAUCCACGAUCCACCUCACCAUCUCUUGCCAAUACCGCCUAUAUACCACCGUCACUAGCCUACCCUGUGAAGGAUAUAAAAGUAAGCAAAAUAGCUAACUAUACAGCUAAUAAGUCAGGUCAAGGUGUAGCUAACUGAGAUGGAAGAAAUGGGCUACAUUUUCUAAACUAGAAAUUACCUCACAGAAAGAAUCAUGAAACAGAUUCCACAAGCAGGAUUUAGCAGUAAAUAAGAAUCAGAAUGUCUAAUUUAAGCUGGACUCAAGGCACGC